UUUCCGUAGGUGAACUGCGGAAGAUCAUUAAAAAUGGAGUGGCGUUGUUUUGGUCACCAUUAAUAUCCUACCUUUGUGAAUUGUUUUGUGUAAUAACUUUUUCCAAUGAAAAAUUAUUUGUCUAUCCUGAAGAAAGUAGAAUACUUUUUUUAGGGAGUAGAUUUUAAUAAUUUUUCAGUGAAAAGACCUUUUUUAAUUAAACUUUUGUAUCAUUUGUCUAAAUUGUAAAAAAAUAAUUAAAACAACUUUUGACAAUGGAUCUCUUGGUUCUCGCAACGAUGAAGAACGCAGCAAAUGCGAUAAGUAAUGUGAAUUGCAGAAACGUGAAUCAUCAAUCUUCGAACGCAUAUUGCACUUUUUAGUUUACUAAAAAGUAUGUCUGUUGAGUAUCAGUAAAAUUCUCAUAAAAGCGUUGCGCUUUUAUGGUUAUGAGUGUUACAACGUAACAAUGUUUCACUUUAAAUUCAUUUUUAAAGCCAUCCGUUUGGUUUAAAAUAAUUAAAAUUGGAUAAAUUUUCCUGUAAAAAGGAUAACUAUUUCAGUUUUAGUUUUUUAAAUCCAAGGCCAAGGCCAAACAAAAGGAAUUUCAAAUACAAUCAACUUGAUCUCAAAUCAGAUAAGAGUACCGCUGAACUUAAGCAUAUCAAUAAGCGGAGGAAAGAAACUAACAAGGAUUCCCUUAGUAACGGCGAGUGAAGCGGGAAGAGCUCAAAUUUGAAAUCUCAAGGUUUACCUUGACGAAUGUAGUUUAAAGAAGUGUUUUCUGUUAGUGGAGUGGCAAAAGUUCUUUGGAAUAGGACAUCAUAGAGGUGAGAAUCCGUAUUUGCCAUUUCAGCUUGUAUACACUUUCAAAGAGUCGGAUUGUUGGGAAUGCAGUCCAAAAUGGUGGUAGAUUUCAUCUAAAGCUAAUAUGGCGAGAGACGAUAGCGAACAAUACGUGAGGAAGAUGAAAGAACUUGAAAGAGAGUUAAACAGUACGUGAAAUUGUCAAAGGGAAGCGUUUGACACCAGUGUUGUGUGAGAAAUCAUUGUGUGGAACGGUUGUUGUGGGUGAACCUUAUCAGCUCUCCUUACUCUUACCUUUUCACGCAAUGCACUUCUCUUUAACAAGUCAACAUCAAUUUCUUUUGUUGUAAAGGUCAGCGGAAGGUGGUUUCUUUCGGAGAAAUGUUUAUAGCCGUUGAUCUCUACAAUCGAGAGAUUGAGGUCUGCAGCGUAGAUCCUUCGGGUUAGUACGUCGGUGCUAAGUUAUAAUCCUAUAUAGACAACUGUUGACUAUUCGAUCAUGUAGCUUACUCGCUGACGCUAUUUUACUACGCUUAGGAU
RNAcentral lists this unclassified non-coding RNA (1326 nucleotides) under uncultured Neocallimastigales. RNAcentral's name for it is "partial contains small subunit ribosomal RNA, internal transcribed spacer 1, 5.8S ribosomal RNA, internal transcribed spacer 2, and large subunit ribosomal RNA". The stretch from base 603 to 1326 matches the Rfam family "Eukaryotic large subunit ribosomal RNA", at positions 1 to 625 of the family's 3401-position model. The record is from RNAcentral. Lineage: Eukaryota; Fungi; Neocallimastigomycota; Neocallimastigomycetes; Neocallimastigales.